CGCCUCUUGAACAAAAAUAAGAGGUCCAGCCUGCCCAGUGAUUAAUAUUCAACGGCCGCGGUAUCCUAACCGUGCGAAGGUAGCGCAAUCACUUGUUCUUUAAAUGGGGACUAGUAUGAAUGGCAUCACGAGGGUUAUACUGUCUCCUUUUUCUAAUCAGUGAAUCUAAUCUCCCCGUGAAGAAACGGGGAUACACCUACAAGACGAGAAGACCCUAUGGAGCUUUAAAUACCUCUUCAAACGUUGGACCUCCUCCCCAGUUUUAAACUCACCUAUAUUAACCCCGUACGCUAUGAAGACAACUUUAGGUUGGGGUGACCGCGGAGUACAACAUAACCUCCACGCUGAAUCAGACUCUUUAAGCCUGAACCAAGAGCCACUGCUCAAAGCACUAAGAAAUUAACAUCUAUUGACCCAAAACAUUUGAUCAACGAACCAAGUUACCCUAGGGAUAACAGCGCAAUCCAUUUCAAGAGUCCAUAUCGACAAAUGGGUUUACGACCUCGAUGUUGGAUCAGGGUAUCCCAGUGGUGCAGCCGCUACUAAUGGUUCGUUUGUUCAACGAUUAAAACCC
RNAcentral lists this ribosomal RNA (574 nucleotides) under Scinax fuscomarginatus (brown-bordered snouted treefrog). RNAcentral describes it as "partial 16S ribosomal RNA". It matches the Rfam family "Bacterial large subunit ribosomal RNA", at positions 1816 to 2596 of the family's 2925-position model. Lineage: Eukaryota; Metazoa; Chordata; Amphibia; Anura; Hylidae. The record is from RNAcentral.